RNAcentral lists this transfer RNA (77 nucleotides) under Candidatus Kaiserbacteria bacterium CG10_big_fil_rev_8_21_14_0_10_44_10. Its description in RNAcentral is "tRNA-Pro". It matches the Rfam family "tRNA". Rfam says of the family: Transfer RNA (tRNA) molecules are approximately 80 nucleotides in length. Lineage: Bacteria; Candidatus Kaiseribacteriota. The record is from RNAcentral.
CGGAAUGUAGCGCAGCCUGGUAGCGCAUCGUUUUCGGGAAACGGAGGUCGCAGGUUCGAAUCCUGUCAUUCCGACCA